CCUUACCAGGCCUUGACAUGCAGAGAACUUUCCAGAGAUGGAUUGGUGCCUUCGGGAACUCUGGCACAGGUGCUGCAUGGCUGCCGUCAGCUCGUGUCGUGAGAUGUUGGGUUAAGUCCCGUAACGAGCGCAACCCUUGUCCUUAGUUACCAGCACGUUAAGGUGGGCACUCUAAGGAGACUGCCGGUGACAAACCGGAGGAAGGUGGGGAUGACGUCAAGUCAUCAUGGCCCUUACGGCCUGGGCUACACACGUGCUACAAUGGUCGGUACAAAGGGUUGCCAAGCCGCGAGGUGGAGCUAAUCCCAUAAAACCGAUCGUAGUCCGGAUCGCAGUCUGCAACUCGACUGCGUGAAGUCGGAAUCGCUAGUAAUCGUGAAUCAGAAUGUCACGGUGAAUACGUUCCCGGGUCUUGUACACACCGA
Molecule: ribosomal RNA, 425 nt
Filed under: uncultured bacterium
Lineage: Bacteria
Description: bacterial SSU rRNA
Rfam family: Bacterial small subunit ribosomal RNA
Source: RNAcentral